This 420-nucleotide ribosomal RNA is filed under the name uncultured Nitrososphaerota archaeon. RNAcentral describes it as "bacterial SSU rRNA". It matches the Rfam family "Archaeal small subunit ribosomal RNA", at positions 459 to 879 of the family's 1478-position model. The record is from RNAcentral. Lineage: Archaea; Thermoproteati; Nitrososphaerota.
CAGCCGCCGCGGUAAAACCAGCACCUCAAGUGGUCAGGAUGAUUAUUGGGCCUAAAGCAUCCGUAGCCGGCUCUGUAAGUUUUCGGUUAAAUCUGUAUGCUCAACAUACAGGCUGCCGGGAAUACUGCAGAGCUAGGGAGUGGGAGAGGUAGACGGUACUCGGUAGGAAGGGGUAAAAUCCUUUGAUCUAUUGAUGACCACCUGUGGCGAAGGCGGUCUACCAGAACACGUCCGACGGUGAGGGAUGAAAGCUGGGGGAGCAAACCGGAUUAGAUACCCGGGUAGUCCCAGCUGUAAACUUUGCAAACUCAGUGAUGCAUUGGCUUGUGGCCAAUGCAGUGCUGCAGGGAAGCCGUUAAGUUUGCCGCCUGGGAAGUACGUACGCAAGUAUGAGACUUAGAGGAAUUGGCGGGGGAGCAC